This is a non-coding RNA of Eubacterium limosum KIST612, 132 nucleotides long. The record is from Rfam. Lineage: Bacteria; Bacillati; Bacillota; Clostridia; Eubacteriales; Eubacteriaceae.
UUGUUAUUAUUGUCCUGUGGUUGUCCAUCGGCCUCACGAUGGUUUGAGCACAAUUGGGUGAAAAUCCCAAACGGUCCCGCCGCUGUAAGACGAAAGUCAAGUCAGAUUGCUGACCAUAGGAUUUUAAGCUGC